AGUAUGUGCGGGCCGAGUACGUCGGGAAUGCAGAGAGGGCGAGAGUGGAUGGGAGUUAAGUGUCGUAAAUCGCGGGGAGGUGGCUAAUUAAGUCAAAUGUGAAAUCCCCGAGCUUAACUUGAGAAUUGCAUUCGGUACUGGGUGGCUAGAGUAUUGGAGAGGGUGGUAGAAUUCCAGGUGUAGCGGUGAAAUGCGUAGAGAUCUGGAGGAAUACCGAUGGCGAAGGCAGCCAUCUGGCCUAAUACUGACACUGAGGUGCGAAAGCAUGGGGAGCAAACAGGAUUAGAUACCCCAGUAGUC
Molecule: ribosomal RNA, 300 nt
Filed under: uncultured Lactobacillus sp.
Lineage: Bacteria; Bacillati; Bacillota; Bacilli; Lactobacillales; Lactobacillaceae
Description: partial 16S ribosomal RNA
Rfam family: Bacterial small subunit ribosomal RNA
Source: RNAcentral